UGGCUGUGUAGCGACUCCCAGAUGCACAUCAGCAGAAUGGCGGCUCUAUAGUGAUGAAUCUCGGGUUAUAGAAACUGGAUUGUUCCAGGCAGUGGCGACGCUACAUAAUGACUGCAAUGUCAAAUGACAACACAAGAUUGCUAACAUAAGUUGAUGAUCCAUAGCUCAGAUGUUGAUUGCAUGGUCAAAUGUUGGUAGCAAGGU
Triticum urartu is the source of this 204-nucleotide non-coding RNA. NCBI's taxonomy places the organism in Eukaryota, Viridiplantae, Streptophyta, Magnoliopsida, Poales, Poaceae. The record is from RefSeq and is a predicted model, not a curated record.